UCAGUCUGAAAAUGAUCUCAGAUCGAACAGUGAUGUGCGGUCAGAUAACUGAGCCUAAAGUAUUGUGGCACAUUUAGCUUAUCACCCUGCUUGCUUGGUUGUGGAGUGAUAAAACCCAUGUGCCAACAAAA
RNAcentral lists this small nucleolar RNA (131 nucleotides) under Mastacembelus armatus (zig-zag eel). RNAcentral describes it as "Small nucleolar RNA ACA64 (ENSMAMG00000008978.2)". It matches the Rfam family "Small nucleolar RNA ACA64". Lineage: Eukaryota; Metazoa; Chordata; Actinopteri; Synbranchiformes; Mastacembelidae. The record is from Rfam by way of RNAcentral.